This 288-nucleotide long non-coding RNA is filed under the name Mytilus galloprovincialis (Mediterranean mussel). Lineage: Eukaryota; Metazoa; Mollusca; Bivalvia; Mytilida; Mytilidae. The record is from RNAcentral.
AUACCAUAUGGAACAUGUUUACUAAGUUUCAAGUUGUUUCGUCUUCAACUUCAUCAAAAACUACCUUGACCAAAAACUUUAACCUGAAACUCCCACUUUCUUUUUCUAUGUUCAGUGGACCGUGAAAUUGGGGUCAAAAGUCUAAUUUGGCUUUAAAAUUAGAAAGACCAUAUCAUAAGCAACGAGUGUACUAAGUGUCAAGUUGAUUGGACUUCAGCUUCAUCAAAAACUACCUUGACCAAAAACUUUAACCUGAAACGGGACGAACGAACGGACGAACGGAGGCAC